Molecule: ribosomal RNA, 431 nt
Filed under: Serratia sp. (in: enterobacteria)
Lineage: Bacteria; Pseudomonadati; Pseudomonadota; Gammaproteobacteria; Enterobacterales; Yersiniaceae
Description: bacterial SSU rRNA
Rfam family: Bacterial small subunit ribosomal RNA
Source: RNAcentral
GCGUAAGCGCACGCAGGCGGUUUGUUAAGUCAGAUGUGAAAUCCCCGCGCUUAACGUGGGAACUGCAUUUGAAACUGGCAAGCUAGAGUCUUGUAGAGGGGGGUAGAAUUCCAGGUGUAGCGGUGAAAUGCGUAGAGAUCUGGAGGAAUACCGGUGGCGAAGGCGGCCCCCUGGACAAAGACUGACGCUCAGGUGCGAAAGCGUGGGGAGCAAACAGGAUUAGAUACCCUGGUAGUCCACGCUGUAAACGAUGUCGACUUGGAGGUUGUGCCCUUGAGGCGUGGCUUCCGGAGCUAACGCGUUAAGUCGACCGCCUGGGGAGUACGGCCGCAAGGUUAAAACUCAAAGUGAAUUGACGGGGGCCCGCACAAGCGGUGGAGCAUGUGGUUUAAUUCGAUGCAACGCGAACAACCUUACCAACUCUUGACAUC